CCGAUCCCAGAUGAAAGUAAGUAGCCGUCUGUAUCGCUCGCUCCGUUUAAGCUGUUAUCGGAUGGAGAAUUACGUCGCAAACCAAAGGGUCAACCUUGCUCGAUUAGAAUACGUAACAAUAUGGAUAUUUGAGAAAGAACGAACCAACAAAGGUUGUGCGGAUGGUAUAUGAACCCAGGCCAUAUAACUCGAUCAUGUCCAAAUCGGAAUAGCUGAUAGUUGUUGUAAUAAAA
This 233-nucleotide long non-coding RNA is filed under the name Gossypium barbadense (sea-island cotton). RNAcentral's name for it is "long non-coding RNA (GBAR_LNC003023)". The record is from RNAcentral. Lineage: Eukaryota; Viridiplantae; Streptophyta; Magnoliopsida; Malvales; Malvaceae.